RNAcentral lists this transfer-messenger RNA (373 nucleotides) under Micrococcaceae. Its description in RNAcentral is "Rothia sp016924835 Standard tmRNA". It matches the Rfam family "transfer-messenger RNA". Rfam says of the family: Bacterial tmRNA, also known as 10Sa RNA or SsrA, is named for its dual tRNA and mRNA-like properties. Its role is to liberate the mRNA from a stalled ribosome. Lineage: Bacteria; Bacillati; Actinomycetota; Actinomycetes; Micrococcales. The record is from RNAcentral. RNAcentral also lists the same sequence under 2 other names.
GGGGAUGAUCGGUUUCGACGAUGUGGGUUGAGACAGGGGAAGCGUGCCGAGGAUGCAGAGUUAUCUCGUAAACGCUCUCUGCAAAACAAUAAGUGCAGAAUCUAAGCGCACUGACUUCGCUCUCGCUGCCUAAGCGCGACUAGCGAAUCUGCUGGCCUGAGCUUGCCUUUAGCUCAGCUCCCAGUAUCAGUUUAAAAGGCCACUGCUUCUUGCCCUCGUCGUAGGGGUAAGAGGAACACUUAUACGAAUAGGUUUGGCAGCAUCUGUGUUUGUGCAAAUGCUGGAGCCGAAAAGUACCGUUACGCAAACUGCGCACGGAGAAGACCUGACGAUGUCACAUCGGACCGGGGUUCGAUUCCCCGCAUCUCCACCA